GUAAUCCCAGCAACUCAGGAGGCAUGAGGACUUAAGUUCAAGGCCAGCUGGGCAACUUAACAAGAUGCUGUCUCAAAAUUUUUAAAACUUUAAAAAGGGAUGAGGAUGGUAGUAGAAUUCAGUGGUAGAGCACCCCCCCAGUACAAAAAAAUAAAAAUAAAACAUGGGCUUAAAUCUUUGUGACCUUAGACUAGGCACUGAUAAAAUAUACUUUCUAAAAAUAAAAAGGACUGGAAUAUAGCGCUCUCUCUCUCUCUCUCUCUCUCUCUCUCUCUGUCUCCCCUCUCACCACCCCCACUCUCUCUCACACACACACACAAUUUGUUCUCUCUCUUUUUUUCUCUCUUUCCCUGUUCUCUUUCUCUCUCUCUCUCUCUCUCUCUCUCUCUCUCUCUC
Molecule: long non-coding RNA, 396 nt
Filed under: Marmota monax (woodchuck)
Lineage: Eukaryota; Metazoa; Chordata; Mammalia; Rodentia; Sciuridae
Source: RNAcentral